UUUAAUUAGUUUGAGAAAAUGGGAAAUGUGAGUUUCAACAAAAACAAAGAUAUGGCAAUAUUGCUAAUAAUUAUACUUUUAGUGACAGCAAUUUGUAUAUUCCCAUUCUUCUUAAAGACACCACCACCAAUUUUCUUGCUUCUCUGGUUUUGCACUAUCCCUCUUUGUAUCAUCCUUUAUUCUAUUUAUCUUGCGAUUUACUUUUGUUGAAAUCGCAAACAGGCCUCUACAACUGCAGGUGAUGAUGAUUAAAUGAAGUUCCAAUGGUCGAUUAAUUGAUUUCGCAAAUAAUACAUAGGAGGUUUUAUUUUUAUUUAAUUCCUAGCUUGGGAAUAAAUUACAAUGUAAUAUCGUCUAUUCAAGCCCUUCAUUUGUAUGUUGAGUAACAUUAUUUUUAUUGGAGGACUUUAUA
Molecule: long non-coding RNA, 412 nt
Filed under: Cicer arietinum (chickpea)
Lineage: Eukaryota; Viridiplantae; Streptophyta; Magnoliopsida; Fabales; Fabaceae
Description: long non-coding RNA (CARI_LNC002150)
Source: RNAcentral